RNAcentral lists this ribosomal RNA (253 nucleotides) under uncultured bacterium. RNAcentral's name for it is "partial 16S ribosomal RNA". It matches the Rfam family "Bacterial small subunit ribosomal RNA", at positions 524 to 776 of the family's 1533-position model. The record is from RNAcentral.
UACGGGGGGGGCUAGCGUUGCUCGGAAUCACUGGGCGUAAAGCGCACGUAGGCGGAUUGUUAAGUCAGGGGUGAAAUCCCGGAGCUCAACCCUGGAACUGCCUUUGAUACUGUCGAUCUGGAGUAUGGAAGAGGUGAGUGGAAUUCCGAGUGUAGAGGUGAAAUUCGUAGAUAUUCGGAGGAACACCAGUGGCGAAGGCGGCUCACUGGUCCAUUACUGACGCUGAGGUGCGAAAGCGUGGGGAGCAAACAGG